This 200-nucleotide ribosomal RNA is filed under the name uncultured bacterium. RNAcentral describes it as "partial 16S ribosomal RNA". It matches the Rfam family "Bacterial small subunit ribosomal RNA", at positions 8 to 219 of the family's 1533-position model. The record is from RNAcentral.
AGAGUUUGAUCCUGGCUCAGAACGAACGCUUGCGGCGCGCUUAAUACAUGCAAGUCGAACGCCGUAGCAAUACGGAGUGGCGCACGGGUGAGAAACGCGUGGGUAAUCUGCCUUUCAGUGGGGAAUAACCAGUCGAAAGAUUGGCUAAUACCGCAUGAGGCCACAGUUCCCGAGGGAACAGGGGUUAAAGAUUUAUCGCU